Molecule: ribosomal RNA, 174 nt
Filed under: uncultured bacterium
Lineage: Bacteria
Description: partial 16S ribosomal RNA
Rfam family: Bacterial small subunit ribosomal RNA
Source: RNAcentral
AUUCUACGGGAGGCAGCAGUGGGGAAUAUUGGACAAUGGGGGCAACCCUGAUCCAGCCAUGCCGCGUGAGUGAUGAAGGCCUUAGGGUUGUAAAGCUCUUUCACCGGGGAAGAUAAUGACGGUACCCGGAGAAGAAGCCCCGGCUAACUUCGUGCCAGCAGCCGCGGUAAUAAU